This is a long non-coding RNA of Fukomys damarensis (Damara mole-rat), 8084 nucleotides long. RefSeq lists it as uncharacterized. NCBI's taxonomy places the organism in Eukaryota, Metazoa, Chordata, Mammalia, Rodentia, Bathyergidae. The record is from RefSeq and is a predicted model, not a curated record. The transcript is spliced from 10 exons.
AGAGGAGCCUAGAAAGAAUCUCUAGAAGAAAUCCCCAGCACCCUGGAACCUGGUAAUACUUGAAGCAAACCAGAGAAGCACUUGCAGCGAUGGUGAUCACAGGUUGAGGAAAGCCCGUCAGGACAUUGGAUUCUGUGCCCACUUCAUGGGCUUCUACAACUGGGAAGAAGACAACCUCCGACAGAACAGAAGGCCCUGGGAACAGAAGCAGUUUGGAUUAAUCCUUCCCAGUACUCGGCUGAGACGGGAGUGCCUCCAUUUUUAAGAUGAUGAUGAUGAUGAUGAAGAUGAAGAAGAAGAAGAGGAGACAUUACUGUAAAACAAACACACACACAACAGAUGCGGAAACUGGGGAUUCGCAAGGGUUUAGUAUCAAAGAAACCUUCGCUAAGAAAAUUAAGCCUAAGAAUUACUUGGUUGUUUUCUAUGUGUUCGUGGACUUCAAUGAUGAUGUAAUCUUUUCUCCUUCUGAAAUUAGGCAUUGGACUAAAUACUGGGAUCACAAAAAAGAACAAGUAUUCUCAACCACCAAGGAACUGACGAUCUAUAGGAGAGACAACAACAAUCAAAUUACUACAGCACGAAGAUUUCUGGUUCAGAUCAAGAGGCAUUACGACUUAGUGAGAAACAAGGACUUUGUAGCCAGUUCCCCAUAACCUGCAGGGUGAAAGAGCACCCAAGAAAAGGGAGGCAAGGAUGUGCAGGCCUUGGAGGGCUGACUGCUCUGGAUGUCUCUGACUGAUGUUGCACGCUCCUUGAGGUCCUGGCCACCAGGCAGUGAACAGAUUCCCUUCACCAUGCCAUUCUGUCGUAUUAUUUCUGCCUUGGAGCCAAGUGACCCUGGACUGAAUCCAAUGAAACCAGAUUCGGCAGUGAAACAUUUAUCAUCUCACAAAUGAGAAAUCAGAGGCUGGGAAAGAAAACAAAUCUUACAAGGGGUGAGGAGAUCAAGAUUCUGCAAUUGUCGAUCACAGGACAUCUAAAGCAGGACGGAUAUUUGGAUUGCAUUGUUACCUGUCAAAGAGCCAGAGCUAAACCCAACUUCCCCUCACUCAUCAGAAGGGAUGAUGCAACGCCUACUACGAAGUCACAGGUCCAGGGAGGGAUUCAACAACUGAAUACCAUAAGAGGAACAAGAGGGGAAAUAUCAACUUCAUAUAUUUGUCCUCAGAUGCAUGUUGGGUCACCAGUAAUUUUGGAUUAUGCGAAAGUGAUGUAAAAUAUAAAGUGUCCAAACUUCAUUCAGUGAGACUAACAUGUACUAAGUAGACGAAAUCCAUAUUGGAGAAAUUUUGAGAAUUUAAAAUCCACUCAGAACCAAAGAUGUGGCUGGCAAAGAGAAGUGCAGUAGAAAACUGUAGCAUGAGUGACGGCUGAAAUUGAGACAGCAGCAAAAAGCUAGAGCCCCUAAGAGCUACCUUGUUUGUCUGGUGGACAAGAAAACAUCACACAUCCUGUGGAUUUACAAGGAAGGGUCCUUCGCCUUCAUGCUUUGGGUAAGAAAAGAAAAUCUCCACUUCAGCACUGAAACUCAAAGCUGAUGCUAUAUCCAGGUAUGAAUUCUAAGCUAAUAAAUUAAAAUGUAAACAAUGAUCCAGGACAAAUGAAUCCUCAGAGGUACCCGGUAGAAGCAAAAGAAAACUGCUCUUUAGGGCUUCUAUAAUACAAGAGAAAAGGUGCAAGUUGAAAAUAAAUAUUCAUUCAUAAAACAAGCCACAAGAGGAAAUGAACCAUAGGAGAAGGAAAUAAGCAGGUACAACUAACUUAGGGAUUAGGGUUCCAGGAGCUGGAGAGAAGAGCCUAAAAAUACAGAAAGAUAAAGUAGAUGAAAAGAUGCCACAAUCGAAGAGGCAUUAACAACUAGAGAAGAUAAAUAAAUGCAUUAGAAGAUAAAAUGAGAAUAACAAAUUAAAAUUCAGUGGAGACUUCCACCUCUGGAAAGAAUGAAGCAGAUAUGCUCUCUUUUUCUCUCACUCAGUAUUGUGAAAACUCUGACAUAAGUCAGAAUAUAACUGAAGUGGGGAGAGAAGGCCAAAGAGAGAAAAACAGAUACUUUCUUGAGAGAAAAACACACAGGUGAUCUUUCAUCCACUAUUACUGUUUCUCUCCAUUACAUUUGAUUCACCUGUUCCUUUGUUCCCAGUCAUUUCUGCCAGAGAGUGUGAUUGUACGGCAUGUCUUGGUCAAUGGGUUAUGACAUUUGCCACAUACUAACAAAAGACUUAAUUGUGUUGUGUGAUUUCACAGUGUCUCUAUUGCUCCUACCUCCACCAAAAGAAAAACCUUUCUGAGAUUAUGAAUCUGUUUCCCUCUGGAUUCUGGAAUAAAAACAUCCAUGGAGUCAGUUGAGCCUAGCCCGCCUGAGAAGUGACCAGCAGAAUUGGGCCAACUAUAGAUUUUCCUACAAAGUGAGUGAGGAGGAAAUAAGUGCCUGUUUCUCAAAGUUAAUAAGACUAGGGUUGUGGGUUAUCAUAUCAAAGUUGGCCCUAUUGUGAUGCAGUAAGACAACCUAGCAUGGGUAUGGGGAUUUAGCUUAGUGGUUCUGCUGCCUGCCUCGCCACACAAGGUCUGAAGUUUGAUCCCUGGUAUCCAAAAACAAACAAAGAAAAAGACACAUCUAGCAGGUUCACAAUGAGCGGUUCUGUGUCUGUGGCUGAUGGACAGGAAGGCUAGAAAACUGAGGGAAGACCCAUCCCAGUUGUGAGUGGCACCAACCAACAGACCUGUACCAUGGAUGGAAUAAAAAAGAGAAAGAAGAGGGAACUAUGCCCGUUAUGGAGAGCUCUAGUCUGCCUCAGCGAGUCCACCCUUUGUGGAUGUCGCCCAGGGACAUUUGUCUCCAGGUUUCUAUUUUUUCAGCUUUCCAAAGCAGACUCACACAGGUGACUCUAGUGAGAGUCUCAGCCUUUGACCUUGGCCCUACAUUCCUGAUCUCUCUAGGUGUGGCCUCAUCUUCUUGGGCAGAACAACCCUCCAGCACUCCAGAAUGCAGACAGCCAUUAUGGAUUCUCCAGUCUUUUCUUGUAGGCCUACUUAGUAAAGGCCCUUGGAUAAUUGUACAUAUAGUUUUCUAUUGAUUUUGUUCCUUUAGAGAACCUUAACUUAAUACACUGAUAAACACUCUAGUCUUGGGUGUGUUCUCUGUAUACACAAUCACCCUGAACAACCUCACCUAUACUAGGAGCAAUAACAAAAUUGAGGACUCAAAAAAUAUAUAUAUAAAGUUUUUUGCCUUUCUUCUGAGCUUUAUUCAGAUUUCCAUCUUCUAGCCCUCACUCCAAAGUGGUUCAUCUCAUGAUCCUUUUCUAAAUUUUCCUUUCUGCUUAUAUCUAGCUGAAUUUACUUGCCCUAAGGUGCUUCAGCAUUACCUUUUUCAUCUUUAUUUAUAAUGUGUACCUUAGGCAAUACAGCAACUUAUCUAUGUAAUUUUUAUCACUAUGUAGGGUCUUCUCAAGAGGGAACUUCUAAUCUCUAAACUGUUACGUAGGUUGACUAUAGUGCAUAUAGUCGUGUUGUUUGAGUAUUUGCUGAAAUAAUGUGAUGGCAAAAGUACAUAUAGGAUUAAAAGAUAAUUUAUUGCUUAUGAAUAAGACAAACUAAUUCUUCACAGUUCCUUAAGCUGAGCAGUCCAAGAUCAGGGCACCUGGAAGUUCAGUGCGCUACAAGAGUCCAUUUGCUAGUUCAUUAUAGUCACCCUUUCCUGUGCCCUCACAUUGCAGGCGUGACCAGAAUAAAUACUGUCACACAUUUGGAAAAAGAAAAAUCUACAUUUUUACUCAUUUUGAAUGUCCUAUGUGACAACACAAGCGGGGAGAAAAAAGCAAAAAAUGACUAUGAUUUUAAGAUGCAACAUUUAUUUUCUACUUGGGUACAAGCAGAUAACUUUCAAUUGUAGGCAGUACAGCCCUUACUACUUGACAAAAACUCAUGAAAUUUUAUUGAUUUUUCUCUUAUUUUUAAAAAUCCUGAAUUUUAUAUUACACAGAAAUUUGCCUUUGAGGAAAGAAUGGAAAGACAGAAAGAGGGUUGGGCUUGUAUCAAAAAAUCAAUGAAUUAAAUGGAAUGUUAAUAUUUCCUUUAGUUUUAUUUAAUUUCCUUGGGGACUUUUCAUGACAUACAAGGUGCUAUCAAAGUAUGGUAAAUAUAUAAAUAACAAAACUACAGUAAAAACCCACUACCAUCAAUUCCCCUCAAAAUGCUUACCUUUACUUCAAAUACAUUCACCCUAUCAUUCUUGCCACUUGGCGAAGCAGUUCUGGAACUCUUCUUGUGUCCUUUUGUGGCUGCCUUGAUAUCCUGAAUUGACUAAAAUUCUGUCAAAUAGAAACAAUUUGGUGAGUUCUCAUCCUCCUUAUUCACCAGAGGUGGCACCAGGUGACCUCCGGCUCUUCCUCUAAGCUCUUUAAAAUGGCUGUGAAAAGUAAAUAUUCUGAAUCAACUGAGGACCUCAAGGCAGCUCCAACAACCCAACUAUAGAAUGUCAUGUAAGAGGACUUCAGAACUGUUUCAGAAAAGGCAGGAAUGGUGAGGUGUUGUCUCCAAGCCAGAGGAAUUUUUCUAAGGGAAAUUAGUGGUAAUGUGUCUUUUACUGUAUUUAAUUUUUAAAAAUUCACCAUGUUCUUGGAUGACUCUUCAUAUCUGCAGCACAGAUUGUUUUUUAGAGACAUUAAGGGACUUGCCCCAGACCACUCAUCUAACAGUGAGUAGAGCCACAUGCGAGCACAUGUUUCCUGAUUUUUCAGUUAGCACCCUUUUGGUGAUUUAUUCCGCCACUGGAUUAAGUGUCCUUACCUAUGAGCAUACUGGGAAGUUGUUAUCCAUGCUUAACUAUCUGAGGAAGAGGAAGAGUGACAGGAGCUGUGCUGUAUGAAGUAGCCAUCGCUGCUCUGGAGAGGAAUUAUCCAGCGCCACCGAGAGCAGCGAGGCUCCUGCUCCCUCAGUGGCUGCUCGUGGAUGCCUCCCCACAUUCCCAGCAGUCAGCCUAUGGUCUGCCACCCCAGUAGAAAUGUGGAUUUGAAUAUUUGAAUUGGGAGAAGCGUUUCUCAAGCAGACAGAGUGAACUAAUUUUCAGGCAUUAAUAACAUGUCCAUUUCUAUUUUCUUUCUGACAGCUACAGGACUGCAUUAAAUGCUCACUGGCCUGCUACAUUUAAUUUGAAAAAACAAAUCCACUUCUGAAGUCAUGGAAGCUGAAAACAUUAGUGGGAGGAUCAGAGCUCUGUUUUCAUCCCAAGAACAAGACAGUGGUUAUGUUCUGAAAUAUCCCACAAUAUGAACACAGUGUGAUCAUUAUUAGAAUAGGAAUAUGUCUGGAUAUUUGAAAGUAUUGUUUUUUUAUAUAGCCUUUUUUAGAGCUGACCUUCUAACAUUCUCAAUUAUUUUAAAAUUAAGUUUUAUAUUUUAAUUUUUGUACUUUGUGUUUCAUAAUUUUCUUCUGUUUAUAGGCUUUCCAGUAGGGAGCCCUGGAGCCGAUGAAAGAGGAAGGAGAGUUCCUUGGCAGUGGUGCAAUGGUUCGUCUGGUCCUAAGCAGUAGGAUCUGUGCUCCAUUAUGUAUCUCUUCUCACCUUUUCAAACACAUCAUUAUUCUGCACUUGCCAGUUCCACUUAUUAGACAGCAGUAUUUAAGAAGCAUAUUAACAUGCUCGGUUCCUGGUUGUAUUAGCUUUCUUGUUGUUGGGAUGCAGUGUCUGACUUGAUAUUUCCAUAAAGAAGGACAGGUUUAUUUUGGCUCACAGUUUCAGUGGAUUAAGUCCGUGCUUGGUCAACUCUAAGGUAACAGAUGGCGGAGGAAGGCUGCUCAUGUAAGAGCAGCCAGGAAGUAGAGAAAGAAGAAUCAGCUGGGUGGAGGGUGAACCUUGUGAGUGACACCACCAGGAAGGCCCCUUCCAACUAGGCCCCAGUUCUGAAUAUGGAACUUUUAGGGGUUCUUUUAGAUCUAAACCCUAACACUCGUGCAACAGACUUCACUGAUUUAAUAGGAACUGAGUACUCAUUGGGUGCCUUUUGAUGCUAUGAAAAGAAGGAUAAGACCAAAAAUGUUCUUGCUUCUGUGGAUCGUGUGUGUGUGUGUGUGUGUGUGUGUGUGUGUGUGUGUGUGUGUGUGUGUGAAAGAGAGAGAGGGUGUCAGUGCCAUUUCAGUCAUGAAGUAUGGAAAAGAGAUGAGGAAAUCAUCUCUUUUAGACAGAGUAACCAAAGAAAAAUAAAAUUCAAUUUGAAUUGAGUCCUGAAUUAUGAGAAAAUAUCAAAGGAAGGGCCAAGCGCAGAUGCUGGGAGCAGAAGGAUCACUAACAACUGGUAAAAAUUCCAGAAAAAGAAUGAUAACCAGUGGCUCUGCAGUUCAAAAAACCAGGGGAAUAAGAGUUCAAUGGGAGUUCACAUCAUUUAUGAAAAUGUCGUGAUGGUGAGGGUUUUGCAUUUCAUUCUAUUUGCAAUUGUAAUUCAGUGAUGAUAUUUAACUAGGGGAGGAAUGCAGUGAUAAAAAAUGAAAUUUUAAAUUCUAGAAACUGAAGCUCAGAACUGUUUUAAAAGUACAGGAUCAGCUGUAAUUUUGAACGGUGAUGCAAUGAUGUUGUACAUUUUCUCUUCCACCUCUCCUUUUCCCUCCAGAGGUUCUGUGAUUUGGCUUAAUAUUUAUGCUAUGGCAAGAAUCAAGGCUGCUCAGAACCCCUCUGGCCUUGUGGUUUUCCUGCAUAUGUCAGUCAAACAGGAUGCCAAAUGGCAAUUGAAAUAAGCACAGUGUAUCAGUUCAAUCAUGGGAGCAUUUUCUUCGUACUAGGAGGCAGUGAAUACCAAGUGAAUUUGAUGAAUAGUGUAAUUAUUCACUAACUGUGAUGGUGUGGAAACCCAGACAGACUCACAAGAGGACAGUCCCUCGGGCAGGCAUGCCCAGAAUCACAGAUCAUGGAUUCCCCUGCAGCCUGUGUUCCUUGGCAAUAGAACACGCUCUCAAGUGUGCUGGCAGGACCAUGUGGCCAUCUGUCCUAGACCAAAGGGUUUCUGUGAUAUCGUGUCAUUCAGUUUAAACUGUUCAUGAAUAAAGGGGGAAAAAACUUUAACAUUCCCACCUCCUUAUCUGAAAAGAAAAAAGAUACCUGGGCGAACUGCAUGCAAAAUAUAUCAUUCUGAGAUAGCUUGAAAGUAGCAAUCUUAAAAGUUAAAUUCAGACUUCAAGUUCAGAACAUCUGAUUUGUAGUUGCUGUGUUUCCAUGGUUAUUUAGCUUCUAUUGGUUCAGCAAACAUUAAGCUACUGUUAACCUCUAUUUGAGGAUAUUUGAAUAUCUAUCCCAUCUGAGAUGUGAUUCUUUUCACUAAUGUUGUACAGUUCUAAGAAACUGAGAGAUGUAUGUAUGAUUAUGAGAUUUUGAAAGUUUAAACUUUUCCUUUUAAAUAUUUUGUUUUAAAUCUCUGUUUAUGGAAUCUCUGCAAAGUUUAGGGGUCACUUUACUACUACAGGUUAUAAAUAUAAACUCAAUAGUCUUCCUUCUAAGAUUGGGUAGGGGGCACACAUGGUCACUGGACUCUUUCUGCAGGUAUUGUACCUGCUGUGCAGAAGGGCUUGCUGAAAGAUACAAAGGGCACUAGAAGAGGUGUUUACAGGAGAACUAACUUCACUUCAAUAAAGUAUAUUUUAGCAUUUACUUUCUGCUUACUAAAAAAUUCAGGGGGAGGCUUUGGUCCUUCCCUACGUGGGUCAUAUGUUUUUGGAGAGAUAUGCAUAUAAUUAAUUUUGCUAAAAUUUAAGCUGACAAAUGCAUAUUACAGAAGUAGGCUAAGGGAUGGUAGAAAAAAUAUAACAUUUUAAAACAAGAUUUUAUCCCAUAUACAUUGAGGAACCCUCCAUAAGUUUUAAAAAGAAAAUAGUCAUAUUUCUUUUCUGCAAAGAUCGAUUGGGAAUCAGUAUAGAAUAAAGAAUAUAUUGGAAGAAGGUUGAAGCCGGAUGUAGAAAGACAAAAUCACCUGGUUAAAUCAACCAAAUCAGAGCUAGAACUAGGUCUAGGUUCAGGGCUCUGGAUCCUGAGCCAAUUGCUUGUUUAUUUUUGUUUUUGUUUUUGAGACAGGGUCUCACUAUGUAGUUGAGACUGAACU